RNAcentral lists this long non-coding RNA (1747 nucleotides) under Monodelphis domestica (gray short-tailed opossum). RNAcentral's name for it is "lncRNA (ENSMODG00000050099.1)". The stretch from base 87 to 274 matches the Rfam family "Rhabdomyosarcoma 2 associated transcript conserved region 6". Lineage: Eukaryota; Metazoa; Chordata; Mammalia; Didelphimorphia; Didelphidae. The record is from RNAcentral.
CCAUUUUCUUGGGGCCACCAACCGAGAGUUAAGCUACCUAACAUUUCGAAAACCCAGCCCAUUUCACUCACAGCAGGCAUGGCAGUGGGUGACGGAUCGCAUCCCGCCAGCUGGCUAAUAUCGUAAUUAACAAAGUUGCAACCACAUCGGAGAAGUUUAAUCGAAAAAUUUGCCGGCAGUAUGAUGGCAUUGUCACAGAGAUCACAAGCUAGGCAGACAAGACUUUCAUUCUGGGAGACCGCAAGCUGAGGAAGUCUGAACUUGGCCAGCCUAAGGGGCCCCUGCAAGAGAGUUUCCAGUCUGCAUUUCCAGUCCCCAGUGGCCUAGUCAUGACUGGAGCUGGGCUUACUCUGGAGACUGUGGACCCCAAAGGCCAGGAAAACAGAAGUUUGGAGUAUUUACUCAUAGGAUUGAUUUUUCUAUAUGGAAAACAAAAAUGUGAAAGAGGGAAAGCAUCAUCAGAAGACAUUCACAUGGAGAAAUUCUUUGACAUCACAUGGUUUCCGAUCAAUGGUUUCUACCAGAGCUUCAUUUUGGUUUCUUAAACUAUGCAUGACUUUAAGUUUUUAAUGCAUAUUUAAGUUUGUACAAAGAGAGAAAUGAGGUUGUUUCUAUGAAUGGGGGUGUGAUAUAUAUAUAUCACACCCCCAUUCAUAUAUAUACAUAUAUAUAUAUAUAUAUAUAUAUAUAUAUGCAGUCAUUUUAUCCCCAACAAUUCUGUUAAACUUUGUGAUAGUCACAACCUAGAAAUCUUUGGCUUUUGACCAGAUGAACAUGGAGAGCAGGUACUCUGAUGAAAGACAAGCUGGUUCUCUAUGUAUGCUAAGUCUGAUAUUCCCCUUAUUCUACAGUAUGACUUGAUAUCAAAUAUCAGAUGGGGAAGUUUGGAAGUUUCGGGGACUUCUAUUAAAUUGUUCCAUUAACUCAGUGAAUGGCACAGAUAGAUCUGUGCACGUACAUGACAAGUGUGCAAUUUAAACAUAGGGACUUGAGAUAAGGAGGCAAGAUGGCUAACUGGGAAUGGAUUUUAUGAUCCCCCUCACACUGCUGUGGGUAUAUCACUUUUUGGUAGUAAAUUUGAAACUUAGAUGUACAAAUUAAUUCUCUUUCAUCACUGGGUAACAUUAUUAGAAUUGACUUUAUCUUGUUGUGAUGUCCUUGGCUCACCUGGAAGGUGAAAUUGGUUACAUGGAUUAUUAUUCCAAUCAGUUCCAUAGGGUCUCUGAGGUUUUUUGGUGGGGAGUAGCAUUUUGAGAUAACUAUCAUUUUGCUACAAGUUACCCAUUGUUUAGGGACAAGGUAGGGAACAGGAUAGAUUGACUUUCUCUGGCUAGGGGAAAACAGAUUUGAAACAAGGGCAGAGGAUUGACAAAUGCUAUAUACAAGUCAUCUCUUUAGCCCUCUCCUUUUCUAAGAUUUUUUUUUUUCUUUAUAGUGGGUGAUUAAGGCAUUCGACAGAGGCAGAGAUAGGGGUGAUUGCAUCUAAAAUUAAACACUUUGAGGACAAGAGAGCAUUUGUUAUUUGUCCUUGAAUAAUCCCCAGUGCCUAAAACUAUAUAUUGCAACAACCUGGUGAUUUAUGAAUGAAUGAUUAAAUGGAUGAUGAAAUAAUUUAAUCUAAUGAAUGAACAAACAAAUGUAAUAUUUUGAAAUCUUAAUAAGGGGAUUAUGUCUUGUGUCACAACCCAUAGUUUUCAGAGUAUUCAGAGUAUAGAAAUAAAAACAGUGGAUGGUGGUGAUUUAUGCA